GAGGGUGUAGCUCAGUGGUAGAGUACUUGCCUAAAGUCCAUGAGGCUCUAGGUUUGAUCCCUAGAACUUCA
RNAcentral lists this transfer RNA (71 nucleotides) under Heterocephalus glaber (naked mole-rat). It matches the Rfam family "tRNA". Rfam says of the family: Transfer RNA (tRNA) molecules are approximately 80 nucleotides in length. Their secondary structure includes four short double-helical elements and three loops (D, anti-codon, and T loops). The record is from Rfam by way of RNAcentral. Lineage: Eukaryota; Metazoa; Chordata; Mammalia; Rodentia; Bathyergidae.